UAACUACCAAAGAAGCAGAAGUGUCAUUACCUUGCAGCUCAUGUCGACAAAAAGCUACACUGCACAUUUCUCUUAGGCUGCUAAGAGGAAGGAAACACAAAACACACACACACACACACACACACACACACACACACACACACACACACACACACAGAGGCCUCGUUUUCUGCAUGUAAAAUGUGUGUGUUCUUUAAAAGCCAGUGGUUGGCUGGUUUUCCGGACAUGAUGUGGUUGAAGCUGUCAUCGUAAUGGAAAUUCAUUGCUGUAGCUAUGGUAAAUCGAGUUUUCUGCCUGUGCUGAAUGCAUUAGUCUAAUGAGAUGUUUGCAGCUGGAGCGCAGGGCUGCUGGAGACUAACUGUGAGCUACUAACACGGGUGGAAGAUAGCUUUUGCAAUACUCGGUUUGCAUGUGCUGAAAGUCAUCUGUCUUCUGAGUCAACACUCCCGACCUGGUAAACAACCUGCUCAGGGCUCUGGUGAACAAGCUGUAGAGACGGGGUUUCAUCAUGUUGCCAGGCUGGUCUCGAACUCCUGAACUCAAGCCAUCCUCCUGCCUCCACCUUCCAAAGUGCUGGGACUAUAAGCAUGAGCCACCAUGCCCAGCCUAUAUUUAUAUUUUUAACAAUAAACAUGAUUUGAAUUUAUAAAUGUGACAUAAAGUUUCAUUAAAAUGUAUUUAUUUAAAUAGACCAUUUAAAGAUUUAGUAAAUAUUAGGAAUGCAGGAGGUGUACUAGUUAGGGU
RNAcentral lists this long non-coding RNA (744 nucleotides) under Homo sapiens (human). RNAcentral describes it as "HSALNT0336082". The record is from RNAcentral. Lineage: Eukaryota; Metazoa; Chordata; Mammalia; Primates; Hominidae.